UGUACAUCAGCUAUAUCGAUAUCGUUGAAACACGAUGUACAUGUAGACGCAUAUCGGUGGUCUUUCUGUAACAAUGCUGACUCUCUGUUAAUUCUUAGCUGCCUCUCUGUCAUAAACAAGAAAAAUGAUUGAUCGUACGUAGUUCACAAAACAGGUCAAGUUUUAAAGGAAGACAUCCCGACUAGACGGUGAAGUUAGCCACAUGUGAGUGCGCCCAUCCAAAAUGUGUGUUCAUCACAUCAUUGGUGACUUUGAAAAGCUGGCAUACUCACAAUGGACCUCCAAUACAUAGUCACAUAGAGCGCACCGACCGUGGCGCAGUUUGACAAUUUCAAGAUACUUCUUUCGAAGUAAUGGCGGGUCCUGUAGAGAACCCCGGGAAACAACUGAAAGCAGAAGGGAAACAUGAAGAUGAGUGGAAUUCAGUUUCCUGUUAAUUUCGUAUGUGACCCUUACAUGAUCCGGAUCAAUUGCUGGAGAAAGAUUGCGUAAUGUUACGGACACCCGGAAGAUUAUUCAACUGAGCGGUGAUACGAAGGUUGAUCACCAUUGCACAUUCAGGACAUCUGAGCACAGAAAGAGUGUUUAUGCAUGUGUAUAAAACGCCACAACACCGUCAAUUACAAACACCCGUGCGUUACAUGUCUUUGUUUAAAUAUUUAUGAGAAGAGAAACUUGGUCAGUUUAAUAAGGAUGAUAAUGAUUAUGAUGAUUUCCGAAUAUUUUGAUAAAAGAUAAAACUAACUUUACUCAAGGUAUAAGUAAAUAUUGACACGAUAAAAAAUUACAGCCUUUCUAAAAAGGACUCUACCAUCUAUUCCUAUUUGAUAAAUUUCAAUUCACAUCAUGCUACAGCAAAAUGUAUUUUGGUAGGCUUCAUUUAUGUACAUUGAAUGUGUUGAAUUUACACAAUAAAUAUUAACAAUGAAACAUAUGAUAACAGUUAAAUUAACUCACCUGCAAAAAUUAAAGAAAUAUUGCUUAUAAAACAAAAUAAUUAAAUAUUUUGUAUGUUAAGAUAUUUUUAUUUCUUAUUUUCCUACCCCACCCAACAACGUUAAAUGAAAAUAAACUUUAUAUUAAAUAUUCAAAGAAAUUUAUGCAAUUUUUAUGCAUUAACAGAGAUCCCGUAUUACAUACAUUGAGUCUGUCAAAUUCUGGCAAUUUCCUUCGUCAAAUUCCUGCAAAUUUUGC
Long non-coding RNA from Dreissena polymorpha, 1194 nucleotides. RefSeq lists it as uncharacterized. The transcript is spliced from 4 exons. NCBI's taxonomy places the organism in Eukaryota, Metazoa, Mollusca, Bivalvia, Myida, Dreissenidae. The record is from RefSeq and is a predicted model, not a curated record.